Molecule: ribosomal RNA, 255 nt
Filed under: uncultured bacterium
Lineage: Bacteria
Description: partial 16S ribosomal RNA
Rfam family: Bacterial small subunit ribosomal RNA
Source: RNAcentral
UACGAAGGGGGCUAGCGUUGCUCGGAAUUACUGGGCGUAAAGCGCACGUAGGCGGCUUUCUAAGUCGGGGGUGAAAUCCUGGAGCUCAACUCCAGAACUGCCUUCGAUACUGGAGAGCUUGAGUCCGGGAGAGGUGAGUGGAACUGCGAGUGUAGAGGUGAAAUUCGUAGAUAUUCGCAAGAACACCAGUGGCGAAAGGCGGCUCACUGGCUCGUUUCUGACGCUCAGGCGCGACAGCGUGGGGGAUCAAACAGG